This 759-nucleotide long non-coding RNA is filed under the name Brassica rapa (field mustard). Its description in RNAcentral is "long non-coding RNA (BRAP_LNC001491)". Lineage: Eukaryota; Viridiplantae; Streptophyta; Magnoliopsida; Brassicales; Brassicaceae. The record is from RNAcentral.
ACAAAUUGAUAGAAGCUUGUAAGACUUAAUGACUGCUUCAAGCUGAGCCUGAAGAUGUUCCAGCAUGUAAAGUCCAAACAUAUUUAAAGCAUAUCCUAAAUCCAAUUAACCAAACAAAGAUAGCAUGUUCAAUAAACAGAUGAAGCCAUUUUAUUAAUCAUGAGGAAGGGUUUAUAAUCAACAAGCAAGAGCUUACAUCAUCCGUAAAAUCUCUAAUAGACACAUCAGAAAACAUAAUCACAAAACAUAAUAGGCACGAGAGCUUGUCAUCGUCUUUUCCACAACGGAGGUGGGACCUGCUCGUCGUCGCGUCCUCUCCAUACCGGAUCUCGAAUCUGUUGGCCGUCCUGUCGUCCUCUCCACAACGGAAGUCGGACCUGGUUGCCGUCGCGUUGUCCUGUCCAUACCGGAGCUCUCGGAUCUGCUCGUCAGCUCUCAUGUCCACAAAAUCUCAGAGAUUCGAUUCAAUUGAAAAAGUACAACACAAACAAUUAAAAAAAGAAAAAAUAUAAAAAAGGUUAGGGGUUUCAAGGAGAAAGGUAUUGAAAUCGGGCGACGGAGAAUGAAGGAGAAAGGUGAUGAGAUAUGAAGAGAUAGAUACGAGAUUAUACAGUCACAACCGCUGUGAGCCUUCUGGAUUCAUGGUGUUUUACAGAGAAAUUGAAGACGAAGAAGAAAAGAUUUAGCAGAAUUAUGGUUAGUAAACGAAGGGGCUGGGAAAUUGGGAAAAUUAGAUCUGAAUUUCAAAAAGUAAAGCCA